RNAcentral lists this ribosomal RNA (495 nucleotides) under uncultured bacterium. RNAcentral's name for it is "partial 16S ribosomal RNA". It matches the Rfam family "Bacterial small subunit ribosomal RNA", at positions 28 to 507 of the family's 1533-position model. The record is from RNAcentral.
GACGGACGCUGGCGGCGUGCCUAAUACAUGCAAGUAGAACGCUGAAGGAGGAGCUUGCUUCUCUGGAUGAGUUGCGAACGGGUGAGUAACGCGUAGGUAACCUGCCUGGUAGUGGGGGAUAACUAUUGGAAACGAUAGCUAAUACCGCAUAAUAGCAGUUGUUGCAUGAUAACUGUUUGAAAGGUGCAAUUGCACCGCUACCUGAUGGACCUGCGUUGUAUUAGCUAGUUGGUGGGGUAACGGCUCACCAAGGCGACGAUACAUAGCCGACCUGAGAGGGUGAUCGGCCACACUGGGACUGAGACACGGCCCAGACUCCUACGGGAGGCAGCAGUAGGGAAUCUUCGGCAAUGGACGGAAGUCUGACCGAGCAACGCCGCGUGAGUGAAGAAGGUUUUCGGAUCGUAAAGCUCUGUUGUAAGAGAAGAACGAGUGUGAGAGUGGAAAGUUCACACUGUGACGGUAUCUUACCAGAAAGGGACGGCUAACUACGUG